Molecule: long non-coding RNA, 426 nt
Organism: Fulmarus glacialis (Northern fulmar)
Lineage: Eukaryota; Metazoa; Chordata; Aves; Procellariiformes; Procellariidae
Exons: 4
Source: RefSeq, a predicted model, not a curated record
GAUGUUUUGUCUCUAGUUAAGAUCGGGAGGUGCACAAGUCUUGGAAGGAUGCAUAGCAGAAAUACACAAUAUCACCAGCCUAGAUAUUUCAGACAAUGGCCUAGAAUCUGACCUCUCAACCCUUGUAGUCUGGCUUAGUAAAAACCGAUCGAUAAGACACUUGGCGUUAGGCAAAAACUUUAACAACAUGAAAUCCAAAAAUCUCACUCCAGUACUUGAUAAUUUAGUUCAGAUGAUUCAAGACGAGGAUUCACCUCUGCAGUCGUUGUCCCUCGCAGAUUCCAAGCUGAAGACUGAGGUCACCAUCAUUAUCAAUGCCUUGGGCAGCAAUACUUCUCUUACAAAAGUGGAUAUUAGUGGAAAUUCCAUGGGAGAUAUGGGAGCAAAGAUGCUGGCAAAAGCCCUACAGAUAAACACCAAGCUCAG